Molecule: ribosomal RNA, 465 nt
Filed under: uncultured bacterium
Lineage: Bacteria
Description: partial 16S ribosomal RNA
Rfam family: Bacterial small subunit ribosomal RNA
Source: RNAcentral
GACGAACGCUGGCGGCGUGCUUAACACAUGCAAGUCGAACGGAAAGGCCCUGCUUGCCGGGUACUCGAGUGGCGAACGGGUGAGUAACACGUGGGUGAUCUGCCCUGCACUUCGGGAUAAGCCUGGGAAACUGGGUCUAAUACCGGCUAGGAGCCAUUUUUAGUGUGAUGGUUGGAAAGUUUUUUCGGUGUAGGAUGAGCUCGCGGCCUAUCAGCUUGUUGGCGGGGUAAUGGCCUACCAAGGCGGCGACGGGUAGCCGGCCUGAGAGGGUGGACGGCCACAUUGGGACUGAGAUACGGCCCAGACUCCGACGGGAGGCAGCAGUGGGGAAUACUGCACAAUGGGCGCAAGCCUGAUGCAGCGACGCCGCGUGGGGGAUGACGGCCUUCGGGUUGUAAACUCCUUUCGCUAGGGACGAAGCUUUUUGUGACGGUACCUAGAUAAGAAGCACCGGCUAACUACGUG